AGAGUUUGAUUAUGGCUCAGGAUGAACGCUAGCUACAGGCCUAACACAUGCAAGUCGAGGGGUAGCGUGAGGGAAGCUUGCUCCCUGACGACGACCGGCGAAUGGGUGAGUCACGCGUGUCCAACCUGCCCCGUGCCCGGGGAUAGCCCUUGGAAAUGAGGAUUAAGACCCGAUAUGUGGCGCUUCCGCAUGGCGGCGCCAUGAAGCAGGCACGGGAUGGGGACGCGUCGGAUUAGCUUGACGGCGGGGCAACGGCCCACCGUGGCGACGAUCCGCAGGGGUUCUGAGAGGAAGGUCCCCCACACUGGCACUGAGACACGGGCCAGACUCCUACGGGAGGCAGCAGUGAGGAAUAUUGGUCAAUGGGCGGGAGCCUGAACCAGCCCAAGUAGCGUGCAGGACGACGGCCCUACGGGUUGUAAACUGCUUUUCCGGGAGGAUAAAGUGAGCCACGCGUGGUUCAUUGCAGGUAUCCCGGGAAUAAGGACCGGCUAAUUCCGUGCCAGCCGCGGC
This 513-nucleotide ribosomal RNA is filed under the name uncultured bacterium. Its description in RNAcentral is "bacterial SSU rRNA". It matches the Rfam family "Bacterial small subunit ribosomal RNA", at positions 8 to 518 of the family's 1533-position model. The record is from RNAcentral.